Molecule: non-coding RNA, 590 nt
Organism: Hippoglossus stenolepis (Pacific halibut)
Lineage: Eukaryota; Metazoa; Chordata; Actinopteri; Pleuronectiformes; Pleuronectidae
Source: the annotation of a RefSeq genome assembly
UGUCAAAGAGCAGAGCAGAAAAGACCUCCUGCUGUGCUGCAUUCAAUAUCUACACCAGACAUCAGAUAGUGUCUGUAAGAUGUUCCCUCUGCGUCACGCUGGAGUCUGGCCUUUGUUUCUCUUCAUCCUGAAAGGUGUGAGCUGUGAAAAACUGCCUCCAGACCAGGCUGCAGAGUUCAGUGUAGAAGGCAGCACUGUUACUCUGUCCUACAACUUCUCCAUGACAAUAACUGGUUCUGAUCAUUUCUUCUGGUAUCGACAGUAUCCAGGACAAGCACCAGAGUUCCUCCUGUACAUCUCAGGGUUCAAUGUGACAAGAACGUCAGAUUCUCUGAAGUCAGAAACAAGGUUCUCCACUCACCUGUCUGGAAAUGAUGUCAAACUGCAGAUCUCCUCUGCUGCAGUGACAGACUCUGCUGUGUACUACUGUGCUCUGCAGCCCACAGUGACAGGAAACUACACAACUCUGUACAAAAACCUGUGGAGCAAAGACAAUACUCCUCAUCAUCCACCAGAGGGAGUCACUCACUGUUAAACCUCAGUGGUUUGUGAUGACGUUUGUUUCACAAUAAAACAAAUUCUGACAAUCA